This 492-nucleotide ribosomal RNA is filed under the name uncultured bacterium. Its description in RNAcentral is "partial 16S ribosomal RNA". It matches the Rfam family "Bacterial small subunit ribosomal RNA", at positions 29 to 507 of the family's 1533-position model. The record is from RNAcentral.
AGUGAACGCUGGCCGUACGUCUAACACAUGCAAGUCGAACGGCAGCACAGUAAGAGCUUGCUCUUACGGGUGGCGAGUGGCGGACGGGUGAGGAAUACAUCGGAAUCUACUUUUUCGUGGGGGAUAACGUAGGGAAACUUACGCUAAUACCGCAUACGACCUACGGGUGAAAGCAGGGGAUCUUCGGACCUUGCGCGAUUGAAUGAGCCGAUGUCGGAUUAGCUAGUUGGCGGGGUCAAGGCCCACCAAGGCGACGAUCCGUAGCUGGUCUGAGAGGAUGAUCAGCCACACUGGGACUGAGACACGGUCCAGACUCCUACGGGAGGCAGCAGUGGGGAAUAUUGGACAAUGGGCGCAAGCCUGAUCCAGCCAUACCGCGUGGGUGAAGAAGGCCUUCGGGUUGUAAAGCCCUUUUGUUGGGAAAGAAAAGCAGCAGGUUAAUACCCCGCUGUUCUGACGGUACCCAAAGAAUAAGCACCGGCUAACUUCGUG